RNAcentral lists this long non-coding RNA (505 nucleotides) under Daucus carota (carrot). RNAcentral describes it as "long non-coding RNA (DCAR_LNC006066)". The record is from RNAcentral. Lineage: Eukaryota; Viridiplantae; Streptophyta; Magnoliopsida; Apiales; Apiaceae.
GACACCAGCAACUGCUCCUCAGGCUGCAGAAUCUGGAACUUCUCCAGCGGCGGAGGAAUCAGGCGCCCCUACCUCAGAAUCAGGCGCUCCCCCUACCUCAGAAUCCGAUGCUCCCCCUUCAUCGGAAUCAGGCGCUACCCCUGCAUCGGAAUCAGGCGUUUCCCCUGAACCAGAAUCAGGCGUUCCUCCUGAACCAGAAUCAGGAGCUCCUACUACACCAGAAUCAGGUGCUCCUACUACAUCAGAAACAGGUGUCUCAGAAUCAGUCCAAGUGCCAACACCAGAAACUGAUGCUCAUUCGACUUCAGAAUCAGGUUCUAAUCCUCCUCCAGAAUCAACUAAUGGUGCAACAGGACCCACAUCAGAAUCAAGUGCAGCAGUUGCAUUGGACACAAGUGAACGAUGUUCAGAUAAUCCAUCUUAUGCAUCCCCUGUAAGUAUGUCCAGUAUAGUACCAGCCGAAACUCCACAAACAUCUAGUAAUCCAGUACCGACAGAAGCUCCU